RNAcentral lists this ribosomal RNA (441 nucleotides) under Synalpheus hastilicrassus complex sp. B KMH-2014. RNAcentral describes it as "SSU rRNA". It matches the Rfam family "Eukaryotic small subunit ribosomal RNA", at positions 1017 to 1465 of the family's 1831-position model. Lineage: Eukaryota; Metazoa; Arthropoda; Malacostraca; Decapoda; Alpheidae. The record is from RNAcentral.
GCCCUAGUUCUAACCCUAAACGAUGCUGACCAGCUAUUCGCCGUCGUUAUUCCCAUGACGUGGCGAGACGCCCCCGGGAAACCUCGAGUCUUUGAGUUCCGGGGGUAGUAUGGUUGCAAAACUGAAACUUAAAGGAAUUGACGGAAGGGCACCACCAGGAGUGGAGCCUGCGGCUUAAUUUGACUCAACACGGGAAACCUCACCAGGCCCGGACACCAGAAGGAUUGACAGAUUAAGAGCUCUUUCUCAAUUUGGUGGGUGGUGGUGCAUGGCCGUUCUUAGUUGGUGGAGUGAUUUGUCUGGUUAAUUCCGGUAACGAACGAGACUCUGGCCUACUAACUAGUGGGUGGGUGUUCCGGUAAGGGGCCCCAUCCGACAAUGUCUUCUUAGAGGGAUGAGCAGCGAGUAUAGCUGCAGGAGAUUGAGCAAUAACAGGUCUGU